Phyllostomus hastatus (greater spear-nosed bat) is the source of this 769-nucleotide long non-coding RNA. RefSeq lists it as uncharacterized. NCBI's taxonomy places the organism in Eukaryota, Metazoa, Chordata, Mammalia, Chiroptera, Phyllostomidae. The transcript has 4 exons. The record is from RefSeq and is a predicted model, not a curated record.
AGUGUGGAAGGUGUUCAGGUUGACGGUCAGUGCAGAGACAGCGUCCUUUGUCCUCGGGCGGGAGUGACCAUUUGAAUUCCUGAACCAAAUGGCCUUCGAAGAAACACUGAAUUUCUUUUAGAAGGAGCUCUGACACUGCCGGGCUUGCAGAAUUUCCCGCAACUAUUGAGUACGGACUAGUACAGAACUAGCACAAUGUUGAAGUGUUCAGAAGACAUCCUUGCCUUGUUCUCAACUUUAGUAGAAAUGCAGUAUCUUUCACUCGACAUUGUGGGAGCAGAAGGAAAAUUGAUACUGCUUCUUGGUGUGGAGAAGCAUGUGGAAGAGCUCUGAGUAGAUUCUCCUUGAGACAUGUCAUUAUCUGCAAUUGAAACAUGAUCAGAGAAAAGCCCCGGCUCCUUGCGGGCACUGUGUCGCUGGACACUUUGAGAGUUCGCCCCUGCGCAGGUUAAACUUGGCCAAUAAAGUAACAUCUUUGAUACCCUGAAAGUCUCCGAUAUUCGUUCUCGAGUUUGCUGGAUGCUACAAUGACCCACUCUGACUCUGGGAAACCACAAGCAGUUCCACCUGUGUGCCCCAGGAAGCCUGCAAAUAAUGAAGAUGGUAUCUGAGCCACUGCGUUCCAGGGAGAGAUGCUCACUGCCUAGGUAGACAGAUAAAGAACUACCUAUCAACAAAUGAAAGAAUACUGCAGCUUUUUUUCUGAUUAAAUUUUUCCCUGAAUGCCAAACCCCUUACCUAUACCUUUCUUCUCCUUAUAAAAAAGGUU